RNAcentral lists this ribosomal RNA (463 nucleotides) under uncultured bacterium. RNAcentral describes it as "bacterial SSU rRNA". It matches the Rfam family "Bacterial small subunit ribosomal RNA", at positions 64 to 524 of the family's 1533-position model. The record is from RNAcentral.
GAGCGGUCCCUUCGGGGAUAGCGGCGGACGGGUGAGUAACACGUAGGCAACCUGCCUGCAAGACCGGGAUAACUGUCGGAAACGAUAGCUAAGACCGGAUAGCUGGUUCUCUCGCAUGAGAGGAUCAUGAAACACGGGGCAACCUGUGGCUUGCAGAUGGGCCUGCGGCGCAUUAGCUAGUUGGUGAGGUAACGGCUCACCAAGGCGACGAUGCGUAGCCGACCUGAGAGGGUGAACGGCCACACUGGGACUGAGACACGGCCCAGACUCCUACGGGAGGCAGCAGUAGGGAAUCUUCCGCAAUGGACGCAAGUCUGACGGAGCAACGCCGCGUGAGUGAUGAAGGUUUUCGGAUCGUAAAGCUCUGUUGCCCUAGACGAACAGCAAGGAGAGUAACUGCUCUUUGUGUGACGGUAUAGGAGAAGAAAGCCCCGGCUAACUACGUGCCAGCAGCCGCGGUAAU